This 670-nucleotide long non-coding RNA is filed under the name Gossypium barbadense (sea-island cotton). RNAcentral's name for it is "long non-coding RNA (GBAR_LNC009586)". Lineage: Eukaryota; Viridiplantae; Streptophyta; Magnoliopsida; Malvales; Malvaceae. The record is from RNAcentral.
UUACCUUUGCCAAAAUAUGAACUAGAUCCAGAUUCAAUCGUUCCAAUUAUCCAAGCAUUCGAUCAGUUGCCUUUAAUCCAUACUAUAGGAAAACAAAUCAAAUAACACCACUAAACCCUUUUAGUUUAGUCGACAGGCACCCUUUGCAUAUAGGGGUUUUUCGGCUUUUACCUUAAUUCAUGAAUAACGAAAAAAAGAUUCGAGCGUUUACCUAUAUUGUUAUGACACUACUCCCAAUCGAUUGUAGAUCCAACCACCGCCCAAGAAGGGAAAAUAUUCAACCAAGGGUUCGGCCUUUGCAGUACCUCAAAGUAGUAAGAUUUUGGUUUUGAAAGAAAAGAUAAGAGGUUUGGCUUCAAUGGAAAUUCGGCUAACCAGUUUUGUUGAGGAUUUAUGAGAGAAAAUAAGAAGAAUAUGAAGGAUUUAGGUUCGGCAAAAAGAUAGGAUGAGAAUCGACAAGAGGAGAAAGAAAAGAGAAGAGGGGAAGAGAUGAGAGAAGGAAAGAAAAGAAAAAAACAUAGAAGAAGGAAAAAAAAUGAAUCCUAAAGGCCAAAAUAUACGGCAUUUAAUAUAGCUAUGGCUGAAAGAGUGCCUUUCGGCAUAGGAAUUAUUUCCCAAUUCCAAUUCCCGAAUUUCCUUGAUUGUUGGCCUCAUCCAAUGUUUGAAUUUC